This 484-nucleotide ribosomal RNA is filed under the name uncultured bacterium. RNAcentral describes it as "partial 16S ribosomal RNA". It matches the Rfam family "Bacterial small subunit ribosomal RNA", at positions 29 to 507 of the family's 1533-position model. The record is from RNAcentral.
AUUGAACGCUGGCGGCAUGCUUUACACAUGCAAGUCGAACGGCAGCGCGGGCUUCGGCCUGGCGGCGAGUGGCGAACGGGUGAGUAAUACAUCGGAACGUGCCCAGUAGUGGGGGAUAGCUCGGCGAAAGCCGGAUUAAUACCGCAUACGACCUGAGGGUGAAAGCGGGGGAUCUUCGGACCUCGCGCUAUUGGAGCGGCCGAUGGCAGAUUAGCUAGUUGGUGGGGUAAAGGCCUACCAAGGCGACGAUCUGUAGCUGGUCUGAGAGGACGACCAGCCACACUGGGACUGAGACACGGCCCAGACUCCUACGGGAGGCAGCAGUGGGGAAUUUUGGACAAUGGGCGAAAGCCUGAUCCAGCAAUGCCGCGUGUGUGAUGAAGGCCAUCGGGUUGUAAAGCACUUUUGGCGGGAACGAAAAGGACUGUGCCAAUACCACGGUUCGAUGACGGUACCCGCAGAAUAAGCACCGGCUAACUACGUG